UGGGGAAUUGUUCACAAUGGGCGCAAGCCUGAUGACGCAACGCCGCGUGGGGGAUGAAGGUCUUCGGAUCGUAAACCCCUGUCGAAUGGGACGAAUAGCUCGCGAAUUAAUACCUCGUGGGAAUGACGGUACCGUUAAAGGAAGCCACGGCUAACUCUGUGCCAGCAGCCGCGGUAAUACAGAGGUGGCAAGCGUUGUUCGGAAUUACUGGGCGUAAAGGGCGCGUAGGCGGCCAUCUAAGUCAGACGUGAAAUCCCUCGGCUUAACCGGGGAACUGCGUCUGAUACUGGAUGGCUUGAGGUUGGGAGAGGGAUGCGGAAUUCCAGGUGUAGCGGUGAAAUGCGUAGAUAUCAGGAGGAACACCGGUGGCGAAGGCGACAUCCUGGACCGGUAUUGACGCUGAGGCGCGAAAGCCAGGGGAGCAAACAGGAUUAGAUACCCUUGUAGUCCCUGAGCGGGCUGGCAAGGCGCAU
Molecule: ribosomal RNA, 473 nt
Filed under: uncultured bacterium
Lineage: Bacteria
Description: bacterial SSU rRNA
Rfam family: Bacterial small subunit ribosomal RNA
Source: RNAcentral